RNAcentral lists this ribosomal RNA (1530 nucleotides) under Nodularia harveyana SOOS3. RNAcentral describes it as "bacterial SSU rRNA". The stretch from base 1 to 1333 matches the Rfam family "Bacterial small subunit ribosomal RNA", at positions 169 to 1533 of the family's 1533-position model. The record is from RNAcentral. Lineage: Bacteria; Bacillati; Cyanobacteriota; Cyanophyceae; Nostocales; Nodulariaceae.
CCGGAUAUGCCGAGAGGUGAAAGGCUAGCUGCCUGAARAUGAGCUCGCGUCUGAUUAGCUAGUAGGUGUGGUAAAAGCGCACCUAGGCGACGAUCAGUAGCUGGUCUGAGAGGAUGAUCAGCCACACUGGGACUGARACACGGCCCARACUCCUACGGGAGGCAGCAGUGGGGAAUUUUCCGCAAUGGGCGAAAGCCUGACGGAGCAAUACCGCGUGAGGGAGGAAGGCUCUUGGGUUGUAAACCUCUUUUCUCAGGGAARAAAAAAAUGACGGUACCUGAGGAAUAAGCAUCGGCUAACUCCGUGCCAGCAGCCGCGGUAAUACGGAGGAUGCAAGCGUUAUCCGGAAUGAUUGGGCGUAAAGGGUCCGCAGGUGGCUAUGUAAGUCUGCUGUUAAAGAACCUAGCUUAACUAGGUAAAAGCAGUGGAAACUACAAGGCUAGAGUGCGUUCGGGGUAGAGGGAAUUCCUGGUGUAGCGGUGAAAUGCGUAGAUAUCAGGAAGAACACCAGUGGCGAAGGCGCUCUACUAGGCCGCAACUGACACUGAGGGACGAAAGCUAGGGGAGCGAAUGGGAUUAGAUACCCCAGUAGUCCUAGCCGUAAACGAUGGAUACUAGGCGUGGCUUGUAUCGACCCGAGCCGUGCCGGAGCUAACGCGUUAAGUAUCCCGCCUGGGGAGUACGCACGCAAGUGUGAAACUCAAAGGAAUUGACGGGGGCCCGCACAAGCGGUGGAGUAUGUGGUUUAAUUCGAUGCAACGCGAAGAACCUUACCAAGACUUGACAUGUCGCGAAUCUUCUUGAAAGGGAAGAGUGCCUUAGGGAGCGCGAACACAGGUGGUGCAUGGCUGUCGUCAGCUCGUGUCGUGAGAUGUUGGGUUAAGUCCCGCAACGAGCGCAACCCUCGUUUUUAGUUGCCAGCAUUAAGUUGGGCACUCUAGAGAGACUGCCGGUGACAAACCGGAGGAAGGUGGGGAUGACGUCAAGUCAGCAUGCCCCUUACGUCUUGGGCUACACACGUACUACAAUGCUACGGACAAAGGGUAGCUACACAGCAAUGUGAUGCCAAUCUCAGAAACCGUAGCUCAGUUCAGAUCGCAGGCUGCAACUCGCCUGCGUGAAGUCGGAAUCGSUAGUAAUUGCAGGUCAGCAUASUGCAGUGAAUUCGUUCCCGGGCCUUGUACACACCGCCCGUCACACCAUGGAAGCUGGUCACGCCCGAAGUCGUUACCCCAACUUUUCGGAGAGGGGGAUGCCGAAGGCAGGACUGGUGACUGGGGUGAAGUCGUAACAAGGUAGCCGUMCCGGAAGGUGUGGCUGGAUCACCUCCUUUUAGGGAGACCUAAUCCAYUCAAACAUCGAAAACYUMMAGUGAUUAGAUAMUGAGUUGGUCAUUCCUAGGUYGGUCGAGUAUUUGUUGAGCUUUCAAAGUAUUAUUGGUUCAGUUCAGAUACAUCUAAAUUUGUAAUUKGAAUAMGAAUUCAGCAAUUGAUUGUUUAGACAAUCGAACUGCUGGGUGAUUAYCCAGCC